AGAGGGGUAGCUCAGUGGUAGAGUACAUGCCUAGCAUGUAUGAGGCUCUGGAUUUAAUCCCCAGCACUGCCA
Molecule: non-coding RNA, 72 nt
Organism: Heterocephalus glaber (naked mole-rat)
Lineage: Eukaryota; Metazoa; Chordata; Mammalia; Rodentia; Bathyergidae
Source: Rfam